GGAACAGUGGGACAGCUGCCUCGGCAGCUGCUGGCUGCCCUUCCUUGGCUGCACUUCCUCUCUGUGUCUAGAGUCUCCCAUCUCUUUAGCACAGUGUCCCUCUAAACUCAUCAAAGAGAGCUCAGUGACUUGGAAGGAUGCCAGCUCUGCCAUUUAGUUGAGUGUGGCCUUGGUCCUGAUGGCUGCAGAAAGAACCUGGUGGGCGGAACUUCUGCGCAGCCUAGAUCAGGAGGCAGAGCGUACCUGCCAAGGAAGCAGCACGGAAGAUAGAAUGGGCUGCUCGACCUCUCCAACUCACAGCAUCUCUGGGUGGAGGCUUCCAAGGGCAGCAAACUGUGACCGGUAAAUACAGGAAAGAAACUAA
RNAcentral lists this long non-coding RNA (364 nucleotides) under Rattus norvegicus (Norway rat). RNAcentral's name for it is "long non-coding RNA NONRATT004159". Lineage: Eukaryota; Metazoa; Chordata; Mammalia; Rodentia; Muridae. The record is from RNAcentral.